RNAcentral lists this ribosomal RNA (264 nucleotides) under uncultured prokaryote. Its description in RNAcentral is "partial 16S ribosomal RNA". It matches the Rfam family "Bacterial small subunit ribosomal RNA", at positions 524 to 788 of the family's 1533-position model. The record is from RNAcentral.
UACGUAGGUGGCGAGCGUUGUCCGGAAUUAUUGGGCGUAAAGGGUUCGUAGGCGGUAAUACAUGUCAGAUGUGAAAUCUUGUGGCUUAACCACAUCAAGCAUCUGAAACUGUAUAACUUGAGUGGAGGAGAGGUAAGUGGAAUUCCUAGUGUAGCGGUGAAAUGCGUAGAUAUUAGGAAGAAUACCAGUAGCGAAGGCGACUUACUGGCCUCUAACUGACGCUGAUGAACGAAAGCGUGGGUAGCAAACAGGAUUAGAUACCCU